This 76-nucleotide transfer RNA is filed under the name Gammaproteobacteria bacterium. RNAcentral's name for it is "tRNA-Lys". It matches the Rfam family "tRNA". Rfam says of the family: Transfer RNA (tRNA) molecules are approximately 80 nucleotides in length. Their secondary structure includes four short double-helical elements and three loops (D, anti-codon, and T loops). Lineage: Bacteria; Pseudomonadati; Pseudomonadota; Gammaproteobacteria. The record is from RNAcentral.
GGGGCGUUAGCUCAGUCGGUAGAGCAGUUGACUUUUAAUCAAUUGGUCGCAGGUUCGAUUCCUGCACGCCCCACCA